Molecule: long non-coding RNA, 649 nt
Organism: Asparagus officinalis (garden asparagus)
Lineage: Eukaryota; Viridiplantae; Streptophyta; Magnoliopsida; Asparagales; Asparagaceae
Exons: 2
Source: RefSeq, a predicted model, not a curated record
UAUCUUAUUUCUUCCCGCGAAAUCCCCAACUCUACUUACAUCCUCCUCAAUUAGGGCUAGGGUUUCUCUCAAUCCCCAAAUCCUAGCAUAUGCUUCUCUCUUUAAGCGCCAUGGAUGAGCCUCUGAUCAUGAUAUGGGAACCCUCGAUUCACGAGAUUCGCCGGCGGCAGUUAAGGAUGAUCUGAGGCAGGUAGAUCUAUUCUCAGUGGAGGCAAUUACGACCGAUACUAUGCUAAAUUUUAGUGUUUUUGAUUUGAGAAUUUCUCAGGUCAGUCUAUUACAGCUGCAUAUUUUUGGAAACUCAUGCAAGUGGACAUGCUAGAAAAUGUUGAAGUUAUGAUGGCAACAAAAGAAAAGUUCCAAGUUUCAUUGUAAGGUUGACAAAACUUAUACCGGCAUAUGUUGGUUGAUGCACAUCAGCUCAUCCCAUGUUUACCCAACAAAUCUAAUGUUUUCAUCUUUAUUCGUGGCUGUGUUAAAUGAUGCCAUCAACAUAAAUUGAAUCCAGGCACUGAAACUGUCUGUAAUAAUGACUCAAAUGGUUGAGCGAAGACAAUGGUUAUAAACUCUUGAAUGUUGUCACCAAAUAUGGACGGGUACCUUGUUCUUCUUUUUUCGAACUUUAAUUGAAGGGUUGAAAAUUGAAGCA